RNAcentral lists this ribosomal RNA (915 nucleotides) under uncultured soil bacterium. RNAcentral's name for it is "bacterial SSU rRNA". It matches the Rfam family "Bacterial small subunit ribosomal RNA", at positions 577 to 1501 of the family's 1533-position model. The record is from RNAcentral.
AGCGCUGUAAGUCGUGUGAAUCUCCGGCUCACGGGAGGGUGCGCGGAAACUGCGGGCUAGAGUACGGGAUGGAGAGUAGAAUUCCUGUGUAGCGGUGAAAUGCGUAGAUAUCAGGAGGAAUACCGGUGGUGUAGACGGCUCUCUGGACCGUAACUGACGCUGAAACACGAAAGCGUGGGUAGCAAACAGGAUUAGAUACCUGGUAGUCCACGCCCUAAACGAUGCAUAUUUGGUGUAGGCAGUUCAUUCUGUCUGUGCCGGGAGCUAACGCGUUAAAUAUGCCGCUGGGGAGUACAGUCGCAAGGCUGAAACUCAAAGGAAUUGACGGGGGCCCGCACAAGCGGUGGAGCAUGUGGUUCAAUUCGACGCAACGCGAAGAACCUUACCUGGGCUCGAACGGCUAGUCAACGAUCGUGGAAACACGGUUACUCCGCAAGGGGGUCUAGUCGAGGUGCUGCAUGGCUGUCGUCAGCUCGUGUCGUGAGAUGUUGGGUUAAGUCCCGCAACGAGCGCAACCCUCGUCCUGUGUUGCCAUGCCGAAAGGCGGAACUCGCAGGAGACCGCCAGCGAUAAGCUGGAGGAAGGUGGGGAUGACGUCAAGUCCUCAUGGCCUUUAUGUCCAGGGCUACACACGUGCUACAAUGGCCGGUACAAUGCGCUGCUAAGUCGCAAGACGGAGCCAAUCGCAAAAAACCGGUCUCAGUUCGGAUUGCAGGCUGCAACUCGCCUGCAUGAAGCUGGAAUCGCUAGUAAUGGCGGAUCAGAACGCCGCCGUGAAUACGUUCCCGGGCCUUGUACACACCGCCCGUCACAUCACGAAAGUGGAUUGUACUAGAAGUCCGCAGGCUGACCCGCAAGGGGAGCAGCGGCCCAAGGUAUGAUUCAUGAUUGGGGUGAAGUCGUAACAAGGUAACC